GACGCAAGUAUGAUGGAGCAACGCCGCGUGAGUGAAGAAGGCUUUCGGGUCGUAAAACUCUGUUGUUGGAGAAGAAUGGUCGGCAGAGUAACUGUUGUCGGCGUGACGGUAUCCAACCAGAAAGCCACGGCUAACUACGUGCCAGCAGCCGCGGUAAUACGUAGGUGGCAAGCGUUAUCCGGAUUUAUUGGGCGUAAAGCGAGCGCAGGCGGUUUUUUAAGUCUGAUGUGAAAGCCCUCGGCUUAACCGAGGAAGUGCAUCGGAAACUGGGAAACUUGAGUGCAGAAGAGGACAGUGGAACUCCAUGUGUAGCGGUGAAAUGCGUAGAUAUAUGGAAGAACACCAGUGGCGAAGGCGGCUGUCUGGUCUGUAACUGACGCUGAGGCUCGAAAGCAUGGGUAGCGAACAGGAUUAGAUACCCUGGUAGUCCAUGCCGUAAACGAUGAAUGCUAGGUGUUGGAGGGUUUCCGCCCUUCAGUGCCGCAGCUAACGCAUUAAGCAUUCCGCCUGGGGAGUACGACCGCAAGGUUGAAACUCAAAGGAAUUGACGGGGGCCCGCACAAGCGGUGGAGCAUGUGGUUUAAUUCGAAGCAACGCGAAGAACCUUACCAGGUCUUGACAUCUUUUGAUCACCUGAGAGAUCAGGUUUCCCCUUCGGGGGCAAAAUGACAGGUGGUGCAUGG
This 683-nucleotide ribosomal RNA is filed under the name Lacticaseibacillus rhamnosus. RNAcentral's name for it is "bacterial SSU rRNA". It matches the Rfam family "Bacterial small subunit ribosomal RNA", at positions 374 to 1048 of the family's 1533-position model. The record is from RNAcentral. Lineage: Bacteria; Bacillati; Bacillota; Bacilli; Lactobacillales; Lactobacillaceae.